Molecule: ribosomal RNA, 692 nt
Filed under: uncultured Bacteroidota bacterium
Lineage: Bacteria; Pseudomonadati; Bacteroidota
Description: bacterial SSU rRNA
Rfam family: Bacterial small subunit ribosomal RNA
Source: RNAcentral
UCUCGCAUGGGGAUGUAAUCAAAGAUUUUAUCGCUGAGAGAUGGACUCGCGUCCGAUUAGCUGGAUGGUGAGGUAACGGCCCACCAUGGCGACGAUCGGUAGCCGGACUGAGAGGUUGAACGGCCACAUUGGGACUGAGACACGGCCCAGACUCCUACGGGAGGCAGCAGUGGGGAAUAUUGCACAAUGGGGGAAACCCUGAUGCAGCAACGCCGCGUGAAGGAAGACGGUCUUCGGAUUGUAAACUUUUGUUCUUGGUGAAGAAGAAUGACGGUAGCCAAGGAGGAAGCCACGGCUAACUACGUGCCAGCAGCCGCGGUAAUACGUAGGUGGCAAGCGUUGUCCGGAAUUACUGGGUGUAAAGGGAGCGCAGGCGGGAAAUCAAGUUGGAUGUGAAAUGUCGGGGCUUAACCCCGGAACUGCAUCCAAAACUGAUAUUCUUGAGUGAAGUAGAGGUAGGCGGAAUUCCGAGUGUAGCGGUGAAAUGCGUAGAUAUUCGGAGGAACACCAGUGGCGAAGGCGGCCUACUGGGCUUUAACUGACGCUGAGGCUCGAAAGUGUGGGGAGCAAACAGGAUUAGAUACCCUGGUAGUCCACACUGUAAACGAUGAUUGCUAGGUGUGGGGGGUCUGACCCCCUCCGUGCCGGAGUUAACGCAAUAAGCAAUCCACCUGGGGAGUACGGCCGCAAGG